Molecule: ribosomal RNA, 253 nt
Filed under: uncultured bacterium
Lineage: Bacteria
Description: partial 16S ribosomal RNA
Rfam family: Bacterial small subunit ribosomal RNA
Source: RNAcentral
UACGUAGGGUGCAAGCGUUGUCCGGAAUUAUUGGGCGUAAAGAGCUCGUAGGCGGUUUGUCGCGUCUGCUGUGAAAACUCGGGGCUUAACUCCGGGCCUGCAGUGGGUACGGGCAGACUAGAGUGCGGUAGGGGAGACUGGAAUUCCUGGUGUAGCGGUGAAAUGCGCAGAUAUCAGGAGGAACACCGGUGGCGAAGGCGGGUCUCUGGGCCGUAACUGACGCUGAGGAGCGAAAGCGUGGGGAGCGAACAGG